RNAcentral lists this long non-coding RNA (3709 nucleotides) under Mus musculus (house mouse). RNAcentral describes it as "long non-coding RNA chr13:117274564-117278273". Lineage: Eukaryota; Metazoa; Chordata; Mammalia; Rodentia; Muridae. The record is from RNAcentral.
AUUUGUUUAUCCUUAACUCAUGUUUAGUUUGACAAGCUCAUCUUGAUGCUGGCAGGGCAACAGUAUAAGUAGCCUUUAAAUCAAAGGAUUUAAAACAGUGUAACUGUGACUGGAUACAUACAAAACCCAAAGAAGUAACUUUAAGAAGUUUAAAGAGGAUUCAUCUAUUCCCUUUGCCACCACUAUUUAAGUUGAAAUAGUUUUCAUGAGAAAAAUAAGCUACCAGGAGGUAAAAUGAUCUGAAAUACUUAUGUAAUACUCUGAAAUGUUAACAGGCAUCUGUGCUAUUUAUUAUUCUAAGAAAGAUAAGUUAUCUCAGUAACUUGGAGUAGAAAAAGUUGUCAAAUAUUUAAGUUCAUUUUUGGCCCUUCAGAUUCUCUCUGGAGUACUUCUGGAAAAAUUAUUCCAUCACUGUUAGAUGACAAUGGAAUGCUUCUAUUAACUAGCUUCACGGUAUUGAAGAGUGGAUUGUCUGAGGACCAAUUGUAAAUUGAAUGUAAAAGAAACAAAGGCUGAAGCAGGAAAACUAUCUGAGUUUAUAAAGUGGACACCUGGGAAAUUCUGUUAACUUUUUCAAUAGAUGGGAUUUUCAGUGUAAUAAUUAGAUUUAAUGAUUCCAUAAACUUUCCAGAUAAUCUUAAAUUUGUUUUACGUUAAAAUAUAUUUCCUUCUGACAUCCGUUUUCCCCUAGCUAGUUAGUCCUUCGGGCUCAAACCUAAAAUUGUUUACGCUCUUUUCUUCCUUAUUUUGCUGGCUAUUAAUACCUGUUCCUCUCACUCUCCUAAUCUUUCAUUAAUCCUCAGGGCCUCUCCCACCUCGCCUUCACCAGCUGCAAGGCUAUGGUCUAGGUUUCCCUACCUUAGCCUCGUCCAUACCUCCAUUUUUCAUGGUGCUUCUCCAUCUUUCUUUUUAAACACAAAAGACUCACACUGAUGUCUCAGGUCAGGCCAAACCUUAUGCAGCUCAUUUUUGCCAUUUCUUAGAACUACGCUUCCCCUGGUCACCAUUUGCCUUCCAUUGUCUUGAGUUAGCCCAGAAUCUGUCUCUGAUGCUCCCCCCCAUCCUGCUUACUCAGCAUGUUCAGGCUUAGAGGAAAUUCUGAUUAUCAGUGGGGCAGCUCAAACCCAUGUUUUUUUUGUGGUUGAUCUCCUUCCUGGAUUCUGACUUUUAGUGCUGGGUACAACAGGGAAAGUGUUACAGGUGUCAUACAAUGUCUUUGGAGGAGUGUGAAGCUUAGAUUUUUAAAGAAUCACUUAUACCUAUUUUUAGGAAACUAAUUUUAAUUAUGACAUUUAGGAUUGCAAAUAAAAUAUGGAAAAGCAGGUUGUGUUAAGCCCUUCAAGUGUGGUACAGGGUACACCACACACAUUCUCUGGUGGGUUUUUGUUUCUAUUGCCCUUAAAGUCCCAUGGCCACUGUGUAUGUCACACAUAAACCCAAUUUUUACCUUUUCUCUAGUAAGGUAACAAAUUGGCUCUAAUUAUACAGGAUUUUAGUGGUUAUAUUUCUUGGUAUGGGAAGUUGAGAUCCGGCAUUUGUGCUCGGUCCACUAAUAUCUUUCCAUCCCCCAAGUUUUGUACAGCACCUCAGAAUUCAUUUCAGAAUUUAAUAUUAUCAGCAGCAUGUCACAAAAGGUUUUAAUAUAUUUUGAUCAUCCAAAGCAUACUUCGUAUCCAACUGAUCUGUAGAAGAAGAUACCCUGUCAUGUCUACCAGUUUGCUCCUGGUCCUCAUCUUUAAGACACUUAAUUCCCCCCACCCCAAUUCCUUGCUACUAAACUUCCCCAUAUGAAAAUGAAUCUUUCUAAUCUUCCGAAUGGGUGAAAAUAGGAAGACUUGAUCACGUUGGGAUUUUAAGUUACACAUAUUUACACACUUACGACUUUAGUGCCAGCUUAUUACCUAUGAAUUUAUUCUACUCUCUCAUCAAGAGAAAGACCUGAAGCUAUGUGCCCCUUCUUCCUUUGUUCUGAACCUAGAUAAUGACACGUUCUAUUAAUCAAGUUCCCCAUUAACGGUGACCCUCCUAUUGUUGAGUCCUGGUCCCUGACAUUUGUUGUAUGUGCCAUGUGCUAGGCACUCACUCACUGUGAAACGUGCUUAGAAGUGUUUCGUUGAAUCCUCAGUCCAUCUCAUGACAUAAAGACUUGCUUUCUCUUUUUCAUCCAUACGCAAUUCCAAGUUUAGCGACGUUGAGAAAAUUGUCCAAGCUGCCCCGAUGCACAUGAUCAGAACUGAAAUCCACAUUUGGCCUCAGCUGACUUGACCUACGUUGUUCAACUGCUCUGAACUGAUAAUUUAUUACUUCCUAGAAAAUGAGGAUAUUAUCAAUUAUCUUUUGUCUUUUAGGUAGCCAGUCAUAGCACAAGAUCCAUAAUCUUACUGUAGUUGGGGAGACCGCCCUGCACCCCCCACCCCCUUUACCCAUUCCUGUGGCCCCACGAUGGUGCUGGGGAAUGAACACCAAUUUAGGACUUUUUUUCUGGCUUGAUUUGUCAGUAGUAAGCAUGAAUAUAACAUUUAUCAUCCACACACUGAAAAUGAAAGGGGAUACUAUAUACAGCUUCACUGAGAUGUGGAGAGUGGCCCCUCCGGUCUCACAUUUAGCCCAUGGCGAGGAGCUGGCUUCUCUGUGGAUGCUCUCACAGUGCUGCAGCAAACUGGAAUGAUUGAUGGCAAUCAGCUUUCAUGGAAAUAACUGACUGUAGGUAAGGCAGGGAAAUCACCAAUUUCAGUAAAUGUCAGGUGAGUGCCACCAUGGCGAAGUGCCUAUAAUGGCAUCAUUUGCCCAGCUUCAAGUUUUAUUUAAGUAUCUUCGGAUGACAGGGUUUGCUGGCAUUCGGAAAGUGGGAUGCACGGGAUGUAAGAGAGAAGCUGGCGGAGAACAUUCCGCUUUUGCUGCUGUGUGGACGAACUGGCUGAUUCCUUGGAUUUGUGUAUCUUCUGGUUCAUUGCUGUAGUAGCUGUGAGUGAGUGUGAGUGAGUAUGUGUGUGUGUGAGUGUGUGUGUGUGUGAGUGUGUGUGAGUGAGUGAGUGUGAGUGAGUGUGUGUGUGAGUGAGUGUGUGAGUGAGUGUGUGUGUGUGUGUGUGUGUGUGUGUGUGUGUCCAGAAAGUCAAGAAUGGCAGAUUAUGCCUUUACUACAAAAGUUAACUGUGUGUGAAAGUCACGUACAAAUAAAAUGGGCACAAGUACUUUUAAUUCCACGAAUGAUUUAUAGUCUGUAUUUCUUACUCCUUUGCACCUCAGUGGGAACCUGUUAUGGAAACCUGUUUAUAGACUGUUGGAUAUAUAUAUAUAUAUAUACUUGUUUUAAGGCAUUUUCAAGAAGAAUUACUUAUAUAAUUUUCAUUUCAGAAUGAUAUCACAAAUUAUUUUUCUAAAGUUUAUUUAAGAAACAUGAAAAUAUUAGAUUUAUUACAUAUAUAAUUAAUGAUAAUGCUAUUUAAUGUUAAAAAAAAAGAAUAGCUGCUUAUAUUUUCUACCUUUUAAAAUAGAUAUUUAAGCAUGUUUAGUUUUACUUAAGUCAAGGACCAUUAAUUAUAUCUUUUAAAAGUUGUGUUUCUUUUACAUGUGUGUUUAGGUUCUUGUCACUGACUUUCUAUAUUAUGUAAAUGGCACACAAUUAUCAAUACAGGAGCACUGUGAAAAUGUCCGUGUUGCAUACAGAUUUAAUGUACAAUUAAGCUCAAUAAAAUAUACUCUGUGGGUU